This 484-nucleotide ribosomal RNA is filed under the name uncultured bacterium. RNAcentral's name for it is "partial 16S ribosomal RNA". It matches the Rfam family "Bacterial small subunit ribosomal RNA", at positions 30 to 507 of the family's 1533-position model. The record is from RNAcentral.
AUUGAACGCUGGCGGCAGGCCUAACACAUGCAAGUCGAGCGGUAGAGAGAAGCUUGCUUCUCUUGAGAGCGGCGGACGGGUGAGUAAUGCCUAGGAAUCUGCCUGGUAGUGGGGGAUAACGUUCGGAGACGGACGCUAAUACCGCAUACGUCCUACGGGAGAAAGCAGGGGACCCUCGGGCCUUGCGCUAUCAGAUGAGCCUAGGUCGGAUUAGCUAGUUGGUGGGGUAAUGGCUCACCAAGGCGACGAUCCGUAACUGGUCUGAGAGGAUGAUCAGUCACACUGGAACUGAGACACGGUCCAGACUCCUACGGGAGGCAGCAGUGGGGAAUAUUGGACAAUGGGCGAAAGCCUGAUCCAGCCAUGCCGCGUGUGUGAAGAAGGUCUUCGGAUUGUAAAGCACUUUAAGUUGGGAGGAAGGGCAGUAAAUUAAUACUUUGCUGUUUUGACGUUACCGACAGAAUAAGCACCGGCUAACUCUGUG